This 206-nucleotide microRNA precursor is filed under the name Oryza brachyantha (malo sina). RNAcentral's name for it is "MIR812 microRNA precursor family". It matches the Rfam family "MIR812 microRNA precursor family". The record is from Rfam by way of RNAcentral. Lineage: Eukaryota; Viridiplantae; Streptophyta; Magnoliopsida; Poales; Poaceae.
AAUAAACCAAUUUUUUAUCUUUUACCUUUAAUUUUCGACUCUUCGUCUUAUUUAAAAACUUUUUGUGAUUGAUAUUUUUGUUUUUAUUAGAUGAUAAAUUAUGAAUAGUACUUUAUGUGUGAUUAAUUUUUUUUAAUCUUCUAAAAAAUUUUCAAAUAAAACAGAUGGUCAAAUGUUGUACACAGAAACCAGAGAAUUCGUUUUUU